AGGGCACCACCAGGAGUGGAGCCUGCGGCUUAAUUUGACUCAACACGGGAAAACUUACCCGGCCCGGACACUGGAAGGAUUGACAGAUUGAGAGCUCUUUCUUGAUUCCUUGGGUGGGGGGGCAUGGGCGUUCUUAGUUGGUGGAGGGGUUUGUCUGGGUAAUUCCCAUAACCAACGAAACUCUAGCCUACUAAAUAGACUGCCUACUUUUAUAUGCCAUUGAACCUUUUUAUAGGCUUUGGUUUUGAGUGGUCCCCGCUGCAAUUAGCAAAAUCUCGUUGGGGAUGCGGAGUCAUGCCCGGGGCUUCGCCCAAAAUACAAUAAACAGUUCGCUUCGUAUAUGCACAAAUUGUGUCUAACAAUAGGAAAUUGAGCAAACCUUCUUCUGUGAUGCCCUUAGAUGUCCUGGGCUGCACCCGCGCUACAAUGUACCCAUCAACGUGUAUUUCCUAGGUCGAGAUGACCAGGUCCCUCCCUUUAGCACCUUCUUGCUUGCGCUACUGAACUGAAACUGUUCAC
Molecule: ribosomal RNA, 519 nt
Filed under: uncultured eukaryote
Lineage: Eukaryota
Description: bacterial SSU rRNA
Rfam family: Eukaryotic small subunit ribosomal RNA
Source: RNAcentral